ACGCUCGACACCUACGGGAGGCAGCAGUAGGGAAUAUUGCGCAAUGGGGGAAACCCUGACGCAGCAACGCCGCGUGGAGGAUGACACUUUUCGGAGCGUAAACUCCUUUUCUUAGGGAAGAAUUCUGACGGUACCUAAGGAAUAAGCACCGGCUAACUCCGUGCCGGCAGCCGCGGUAAUCUGAGCCGGGCUGGCAGGC
Molecule: ribosomal RNA, 199 nt
Filed under: uncultured bacterium
Lineage: Bacteria
Description: partial 16S ribosomal RNA
Rfam family: Bacterial small subunit ribosomal RNA
Source: RNAcentral